GGUCUUAUGUAUAAUGUUUUGAAAGCAUUUUUAAAGAGUAUUCUUUAAGACCA
RNAcentral lists this transfer RNA (53 nucleotides) under Cyclosa japonica. RNAcentral's name for it is "tRNA-Ser". The record is from RNAcentral. Lineage: Eukaryota; Metazoa; Arthropoda; Arachnida; Araneae; Araneidae.